This 1662-nucleotide unclassified non-coding RNA is filed under the name Owenia fusiformis. RNAcentral describes it as "misc RNA OFUS_LOCUS1270". Lineage: Eukaryota; Metazoa; Annelida; Polychaeta; Sabellida; Oweniidae. The record is from RNAcentral.
UUUUAAGUUAGAUGAGAUCACUGGAAUAAAUAGAUAUAGAUAAAUAGAUAAAGAUACAAACAAUGCACAUCUUCAUAAAAAAUUGCCAUGAAGAGCUAGGAAUCUAAAAGCUGAUUGCACUCAACUUCCACAACAUACCAUCAAUAUUUGGUGACACUUAUUUCCAUGGAAAACAAACAUUUAUAAAGUUAAUCUGAGCCAUUUGGGAAUGUGUAUAACUGGAGACCAUUGGAGACAUUUGUCACACGAAUCAGCUGAGAGAGCACUCUAAAUAUAACGCUGAGUAAUAAAAACUAUCACUUGAACUAGAUUACAACAAGCUAAUUGGCUGUUGAGAACUACGCAAUUCAAUUACAGAGAAUGAGAUUAACAUUUUGGAACAAAGACUAAAUGAAGACAUCUCAGUAUCCACAUCUGGACAAGAAAUGCUAAAACAAUCGAUAGACAAGGACACAAUACUAGAGACCACCAAGCACAUAAGAUAACAAACAUCUAUACUGACUUUAAAUGUGUGAAAAAUAUUCUGCUUUGGUACAAUCACUUUCGAAACAUUUUACAAAAGCGAAAGAAAGUCACGAGAUGGCAAUGAACAGAAUCAGCAAAGCCUUGAAGGCUUCUAAGUCUUCCCUAAUGGAGUCUAAACACUCUCUGACAAUGGAAAUAGAGAUAGACGCACCAUUGAAGGAUUUCUCAAAAGCAGAUGAGUUUUCAGAUGCUGUGUUAAUAGUCGAGGGACAAGAUUUACAUGUACAUAGAGUUUAUCUCGCAGAAUGGUCACCUGUCUUUAAACAGAUGUUCUUAAAAACUACCCCCAAGAAGAAGAAAUAUCGCCUCGCUCUCACUGACAAAAACUUGGAGCAGAUUAGGGAGUUACUACAUUGCAUAUAUUCUUCACAGAAGCCUGUCACAGAUGAAAAUGUAUACUACCUUCUCCAGCUUGCUGAGGAGUAUCAAAUAAUAAAAGUGACAGAACGAUGUGAGUUAUUCCUAAUCUCCCAGGAUCCCUCAGUAGAGUCACUCGUUCUCGCUCAGCGUUAUAACCUCAGCAAUCUACGUCAACAUGCAAUCAAUCUCCUUAAACACAGAGUCGUCGGCCAACUAGAGAACCUCCCCGGGUACCCAAUGUUGACCCCCGAAACCCUGGCUCAUCUAUAUAAAGCCAGAGCCGAACACUUGGAAGAUACUCUGAGAAAGAUCUACAACUACUGUACAGAUGGUGCUGAGAAAUGCCAGAUACAUAGAGAAUUCAAUUAUUUCCCAAAUGGUUGCCAUGGCUGUGUGCAACUAGCCGUGAAUAAGGUCGCUGAUGAGUGUACAAAUUGCAUAAAAGAUGUGAUCAAUCCAUCUAUGAUUAUCUACAAAGGAACAAACUUCAAAAUGCCAAGAUCUCCAAGUAUGGAAUCGAACUCUUGAAAUUAUCACCAAAAUUCAAGGUUUAUCUUUGUAAUUUCAAAUAGACUAUAAGUAAUCAUAUUCUAUAUGCAGUACAAACAUCCAUAUCAAAAGGAAAAUAUGGAAAAGGCCAUUCCUUACAAUCAAAUCAAAUGAAUUGUUUUGUAUAACGAAUGAAAGGAAUGAAUUUUUGAAUCCUAAUUAUUCAAAUGUGUGGUUUGUGCAAUGGUUUAUUAAAUCAGACAAAAAUUAAGAAUGACAAUGUCAAAC